UUUAUUCAUAAUGAGGUGAGACAUCGCCCAGGCUUUGAGACAAACUUUAACUUUCCAUAUGAACGCUUCUCUAAAGCAGGUCGCGGGGGGGAGGGAACAAAGUUUAACCAGAAAUAAUUUCUCCGAGCAUAAACUGAGGUUAGCGGGCCUAUCAGCUCUUCCUCCUCGCUCCGCCACCGUUGCUGACCCGAGGAGCAGCCUGGAAAGCAGCCGCCCUCCCGCAAACAGCAGAAUGACGCAUCAUCCAUCAAAAAUGUGAGUGUGAGGAUGAUGGGACCAUUCUGGCACACUGAGCAGCAGGGCCCUCCGAGCCCUCAGAUGUCGUCCAGCCAGGUGUGUGGGGGCCACUUGCCAUGCACAGCUUCUCUCAGCAGAGGUUGGUGAACCGUACUCCAACAGAAAGAGGAAAUAAGACUAUACCAUGUAAGAUGUCGGUCCACCUUGCUGUAAUGAAGCUCAAACUAGCUACAUGGAAGAAAGAGAGGCUACAUGGAGGUGCAUGAAGUCCCCAGACAUAUGAGUGAAAUAUUUUUGGAUUUUCCAGCCUAUUUCAGCUGCCAGCUGGAUGUAGCCACGUGGAAGCCAUCUUGGACAUUCCAACUCUAGCUGAUGUCAUACAGAACAGAAGAAUGGCCCUGCUGAACACUGCCUAAAUUUCUGGCCCACAGA
Long non-coding RNA from Piliocolobus tephrosceles (Ugandan red Colobus), 669 nucleotides. RefSeq lists it as uncharacterized. The transcript is spliced from 4 exons. The record is from RefSeq and is a predicted model, not a curated record. NCBI's taxonomy places the organism in Eukaryota, Metazoa, Chordata, Mammalia, Primates, Cercopithecidae.